CAGCAGUCUCCGCAACAGGUCUCGGCUCAGCUCUCCCCACAACUCACCGUUCACCAGCCUACUGAGCAACCCAUCCAGGUCCAGCACAGUUCAUGAAUGGCAACAUCCACAUUCCAGUGGCUGUGCAGGCUGUGGCAGGCACGUACCAGAAUACGGCUCAAACUGUCCAUAUAUGGGACCCCCAACAGCAGCCGCAGCAGCAAACUCCGCAGGAACAGACACCACCACCACAGCAGCAGCAGCAGCAACUCCAAGUUACUUGUUCAGCUCAAACUGUCCAGGUUGCUGAAGUUGAACCACAGUCACAGCCACAGCCUUCCCCAGAACUUCUGCUUCCAAAUUCUUUGAAGCCAGAAGAAGGGCUUGAAGUAUGGAAAAACUGGGCCCAGACCAAGAAUGCUGAACUAGAGAAGGAUGCUCAGAACAGAUUGGCACCCAUUGGGAGGCGCCAACUGCUGCGAUUCCAGGAAGAUCUCAUCUCCUCUGCUGUGGCAGAGUUGAAUUAUGGGCUCUGUCUAAUGACACGGGAAGCUCGAAAUGGAGAAGGUGAACCCUAUGACCCAGAUGUGCUCUACUAUAUUUUCCUGUGUAUUCAAAAGUAUCUUUUUGAAAAUGGAAGGGUAGAUGACAUUUUCUCCGAUCUUUAUUAUGUUCGGUUCACGGAGUGGCUACAUGAAGUUCUGAAGGAUGUUCAGCCCCGGGUCACUCCACUUGGCUAUGUCUUGCCCAGCCAUGUGACUGAGGAGAUGCUAUGGGAGUGCAAGCAGCUUGGGGCUCACUCCCCCUCCACCUUGCUGACCACCCUCAUGUUCUUUAAUACCAAGUAAGUGUUCUAGAGGCUCCACUGCUGGCAUCUGUCC
RNAcentral lists this small RNA (860 nucleotides) under Pan troglodytes (chimpanzee). RNAcentral's name for it is "processed transcript". The record is from RNAcentral. Lineage: Eukaryota; Metazoa; Chordata; Mammalia; Primates; Hominidae.